This 1314-nucleotide ribosomal RNA is filed under the name uncultured Alphaproteobacteria bacterium. RNAcentral's name for it is "uncultured alpha proteobacterium 16S ribosomal RNA". It matches the Rfam family "Bacterial small subunit ribosomal RNA", at positions 33 to 1393 of the family's 1533-position model. The record is from RNAcentral. Lineage: Bacteria; Pseudomonadati; Pseudomonadota; Alphaproteobacteria.
ACGCUGGCGGCACGCCUAAACACAUGCAAGUCGAACGAAGUAGCAAUACUUAGUGGCAGACGGGUGAGUAACAUGUAGGUAUCUGCCCUUUGGCCUGGAAUAACACGAGGAAACUUGUGCUAAUACCGGAUAAGUCUUUACGGAGAAAGCUUUAUGCACCAUUGGAUGAGCCUGCACUUGAUUAGUUUGUUGGUAGGGUAAUGGCCUACCAAGACUGUGAUCAAUAGCUGAUUUGAGAGGAUGAUCAGCCACAUUGGGACUGAGACACGGCCCAAACUCCUACGGGAGGCAGCAGUGGGGAAUCUUGCACAAUGGAGGAAACUCUGAUGCAGCGAUGCCGCGUGAGUGAAGAAGGCCUUUGGGUUGUAAAGCUCUUUCGUCGGGGAAGAAAAUGACUGUACCCGAAUAAGAAGGUCCGGCUAACUUCGUGCCAGCAGCCGCGGUAAUACGAAGGGACCUAGCGUAGUUCGGAAUUACUGGGCCUAAAGAGUUCGUAGGUGGUUGAAAAAGUUAGUGGUGAAAUCCCAGAGCUUAACUCUGGAACUGCCAUUAAAACUUUUCAGCUAGAGUAUGAUAGAGGAAAGCAGAAUUUCUAGUGUAGAGGUGAAAUUCGUAGAUAUUAGAAAGAAUACCGAUUGCGAAGGCAGCUUUCUGGAUCAUUACUGACACUGAGGAACGAAAGCAUGGGUAGCGAAGAGGAUUAGAUACCCUCGUAGUCCAUGCCGUAAACGAUGUGUGUUAGACGUUGGAAAUUUAUUUUCAGUGUCGCAGGGAAACCGAUAAACACACCGCCUGGGGAGUACGACCGCAAGGUUAAAACUCAAAUGAAUUGACGGGGACCCGCACAAGUAGUGGAGCAUGUGGUUUAAUUCGAAGAUACGCGCAGAACCUUACCAACACUUGACAUGUUCGUCGCGACUCUAAGAGAUUAGAGUUUUCGGUUCGGCCGGACGAAACACAGGUGCUGCAUGGCUGUCGUCAGCUCGUGUCGUGAGAUGUUGGGUUAAGUCCCGCAACGAGCGCAACCCUCACUUUUAGUUGCCAUCAUUAAGUUGGGCACUCUGAAAGAACUGCCAGUGAUAAGCUGGAGGAAGGUGGGGAUGACGUCAAGUCCUCAUGGCCCUUACGUGUUGGGCUACACACGUGCUACAAUGGUAUCUACAACAGGAAGCAAGACUGCGAAGUUAAGCAAAUCCCUAAAAGAUACCUCAGUUCGGAUUGCACUCUGCAACUCGAGUGCAUGAAGCUGGAAUUACUAGUAAUCGUGGAUCAGCGUGCCACGGUGAAUGCGUUCCCGGGUCUUGUACACACCGC